RNAcentral lists this ribosomal RNA (423 nucleotides) under Triticum aestivum (bread wheat). RNAcentral describes it as "partial small subunit ribosomal RNA". Lineage: Eukaryota; Viridiplantae; Streptophyta; Magnoliopsida; Poales; Poaceae. The record is from RNAcentral.
AUGCAUAUCACACUUUCUUCAUUGGAACCACAUCAAGUUCGCACCUUGGAAACAAAUCUGGAAAAGCUGGGCUCCCCUGCACUGCAAAUUUUCAUUUCGUUAGUUGUAAACAGCCGGUGUUGGACAGCUGACCGACUUGCGAAGCGCGGCCUUCCCUAUCCAGUUGCUUGUCCCCUCUGUGAUCAGGCUGAGGAAACAAUCCAGCACACCAUCAUCUCAUGUGUGUUUGCUCAGCAGAUCUGGACACUAAUUUUCCAAAGGUUGGGCCUGAUUGCUAUUGUCCCUCAACCUACUGCUGCUCGGUUCUCUGCUUGGUGGAGCAAUGCUAUCAGUAGGGUUCCAAAGGUGCUGAGAGAAGGCCUCAACUCCCUGAUCAUUUUAAUACCUUGGGGGCUUUGGAAGCACCGAAAUGAUUGUGUUUGA